This 1551-nucleotide small RNA is filed under the name Pan troglodytes (chimpanzee). RNAcentral's name for it is "retained intron". The record is from RNAcentral. Lineage: Eukaryota; Metazoa; Chordata; Mammalia; Primates; Hominidae.
AAAAGCGAAAAUGCCAACAAACGGCCCGCAUGUUCCCGAGCAUCCUCGGCUCCUGCCUCACUAGCUGCAGAGCCUCUCCCGCUCGGUCCACGCUGCCGGGCGGCCACGACCGUGACCCUUCCCCUCGGGCUGCCCAGAUCCAUGCCUCGUCCCACGGGACACCAGUUCCCUGGCGUGUGCAGACCCCCUGGCGCCUACCAUGCUGUACGUCGGUGACCCCGCACGGCACCUCGCCACGGCCCAGUUCAAUCUGCUGAGCAGCACCAUGGACCAGAUGAGCAGCCGCGCGGCCUCGGCCAGUCCCUACACCCCAGAGCACGCCGCCAGCGUGCCCACCCACUCGCCCUACGCACAGCCCAGCUCCACCUUCGACACCAUGUCGCCGGCGCCUGUCAUCCCCUCCAACACCGACUACCCCGGCCCCCACCACUUCGAGGUCACUUUCCAGCAGUCCAGCACGGCCAAGUCAGCCACCUGGACGUACUCCCCGCUCUUGAAGAAACUCUACUGCCAGAUCGCCAAGACAUGCCCCAUCCAGAUCAAGGUGUCCACCCCGCCACCCCCAGGCACCGCCAUCCGGGCCAUGCCUGUUUACAAGAAAGCGGAGCACGUGACCGACGUCGUGAAACGCUGCCCCAACCAUGAGCUCGGGAGGGACUUCAACGAAGGACAGUCUGCUCCAGCCAGCCACCUCAUCCGCGUGGAAGGCAAUAAUCUCUCGCAGUAUGUGGAUGACCCUGUCACGGGCAGGCAGAGCGUCGUGGUGCCCUAUGAGCCACCACAGGUGGGGACGGAAUUCACCACCAUCCUGUACAACUUCAUGUGUAACAGCAGCUGUGUAGGGGGCAUGAACCGGCGGCCCAUCCUCAUCAUCAUCACCCUGGAGAUGCGGGAUGGGCAGGUGCUGGGCCGCCGGUCCUUUGAGGGCCGCAUCUGCGCCUGUCCUGGCCGCGACCGAAAAGCCGAUGAGGACCACUACCGGGAGCAGCAGGCCCUGAACGAAAGCUCCGCCAAGAACGGGGCCGCCAGCAAGCGUGCCUUCAAGCAGAGCCCCCCUGCCGUCCCCGCCCUUGGCGCCGGCGUGAAGAAGCGGCGGCAUGGAGACGAGGACACGUACUACCUGCAGGUGCGAGGCCGGGAGAACUUUGAGAUCCUGAUGAAGCUGAAAGAGAGCCUGGAGCUGAUGGAGUUGGUGCCGCAGCCACUGGUGGACUCCUAUCGGCAGCAGCAGCAGCUCCUACAGAGGCCGUGAGUCAACCCUAGCCCACCAUCAGUGUGGGGAAGGAGGACAUGGCUUAACCCCCCAGGAGAAGGCCAGGAGGACCAGAAACCCCUCUAGAAGGCAUCAUCUGCCAGGGACAGGCAGCAGGGUCCAGAGCAGAGCCCACCCCACAUCUCCUCCUCCAGGAAGCCUUCUAGCACUUGGGGCUGCCCCAGGACCCUGGGUCACGGCCCUUGCUAUGCCUCUGCCACUGAGGGGCCUUGUCAAUGUCUGCUGAGUGGAAAGGCCAGGAGGGGUGGCCAGAGUGACCAUGACCCACCAAGACCAGA